GGGAGACAGAAAACAAGAACGCAGAAGUCUGGCAGGAUCUGGCCUUCUUCGACCGAAUCAAUAGAGGUAUUGCUGGCCAUAGGGGCCUUUCCAGGGCCGAGGGACUGAGAAGGCCAGAGCAGGGCCGGUUCCUAACAUAACGUUGGGAAGGUUGGCAACCAGAAAUGCAGAAGGCCCGCAGGAACCGCCCAUUGUCCUCCACCCAUUCAAUCCAGGUAUGGCUUGGCACUGGGGGCCUUUCCAAGGCCAUGAUACUGAGACUACUGGUGCAGGGUCCAUUCCUAACAUAGAGAGGUGAGAGACAGGAAACAGGAAUGCAGAAGACUGGCGGGAACUGGCCUUCCUCCUCGGCGAAUUCGAUAGAGGUAUCGCUGGGCACAGGGGGCCAUUCCAGAGCAGCGAAACUGAGACUACUGGUGCAGGGCCCAUUCCUAACAUAGAGCUGCGAAACACAGGAAACGGGAAUGCAGAAGGCCGAUGGGAACUGCCCUUUCCCCUCCGCCAAUUCAAUACAGAAUUCUGUUAUAGACCAACAUUUGAGAAUGCCAGAACACAGAGUCGUGGCAAACGGUUUAAGGUCAAUGACCAUCUGGAGUAUGACUGUAACCCUGGAUUUGAAAACAAACAUGGAAACACCUCAGGGACCAUAGUAUGUGGUGACAGUGGCUGGUCUGAUACACCAACAUGUUUUGAUCCUAAAGAAAAAUGUGGACUUCCUCCAGCCAUUGACAAUGGAGACAUAACCACAAUGCCUUUAAAAGAAUAUGCUCCAGGAUCAUUAGUUAAG
Long non-coding RNA from Sorex fumeus (smoky shrew), 787 nucleotides. RefSeq lists it as uncharacterized. The record is from RefSeq and is a predicted model, not a curated record. The transcript is spliced from 4 exons. Lineage: Eukaryota; Metazoa; Chordata; Mammalia; Eulipotyphla; Soricidae.